UCCAGACUCCUACGGGAGGCAGCAGUGGGGGAUAUUGCACAAUGGGGGGAACCCUGAUGCAGCGACGCCGCGUGGGUGAAGGAGCGUUUCGGCGCGUAAAGCCCUAUCGGCAGGGAAGAAGGAGGACGGUACCUGACUAAGAAGCCCCGGCUAACUACGUGCCAGCAGCCGCGGUAAUACGUAGGGGGCAAGCGUUAUCCGGAUUUACUGGGUGUAAAGGGGGCGCAGACGGCAGCGCAAGCCAGGAGUGAAAGCCCGGGGCCCAACCCCGGGACUGCUCUUGGAACUGCGCGGCUGGAGUGCAGGAGGGGCAGGCGGAAUUCCUGGUGUAGCGGUGAAAUGCGUAGAUAUCAGGAGGAACACCGGUGGCGAAGGCGGCCUGCUGGACCGUAACUGACGUUGAGGCUCGAAAGCGUGGGGAGCAAACAGGAUUAGAUACCCUGGUAA
RNAcentral lists this ribosomal RNA (447 nucleotides) under uncultured bacterium. RNAcentral describes it as "partial 16S ribosomal RNA". It matches the Rfam family "Bacterial small subunit ribosomal RNA", at positions 330 to 793 of the family's 1533-position model. The record is from RNAcentral.